UAGUACACUGGCUCUUCCCCAUC
This 23-nucleotide unclassified non-coding RNA is filed under the name Mus musculus (house mouse). RNAcentral describes it as "oocyte_clustered_small_RNA2447". The record is from RNAcentral. Lineage: Eukaryota; Metazoa; Chordata; Mammalia; Rodentia; Muridae.